RNAcentral lists this microRNA (21 nucleotides) under Picea abies (Norway spruce). RNAcentral's name for it is "pab-miR11465". Lineage: Eukaryota; Viridiplantae; Streptophyta; Pinopsida; Pinales; Pinaceae. The record is from miRBase by way of RNAcentral.
CUAUGGGUUAAGGAUGAGACU